RNAcentral lists this ribosomal RNA (497 nucleotides) under uncultured bacterium. RNAcentral describes it as "partial 16S ribosomal RNA". It matches the Rfam family "Bacterial small subunit ribosomal RNA", at positions 28 to 507 of the family's 1533-position model. The record is from RNAcentral.
GAUGAACGCUGGCGGCGUGCCUAAUACAUGCAAGUCGAGCGAACGGACGAGAAGCUUGCUUUUCUGAUGUUAGCGGCGGACGGGUGAGUAACACGUGGAUAACCUACCUAUAAGACUGGGAUAACUUCGGGAAACCGGAGCUAAUACCGGAUAAUCUUUUGAACCGCAUGGUUCAAAAGUGAAAGACGGUCUUGCUGUCACUUAUCGAUGGAUCUGCGCUGCAUUAGCUAGUUGGUAAGGUAACGGCUUACCAAGGCAACGAUGCAUAGCCGACGUGAGAGGGUGAUCGGCCACACGGGAACUGAGCCACGGUCCAGACGCCUACGAGAGGCAGCAGUAGGGAAUCUUCCGCAGUGGGCGAAAACCUGACGGAGCAACGCCGCGUGAGUGAUGGAGGUCUUCGGAUCGUAAAACUCUGUUAUUAGGGAAGAACAUAUGUGUAAGUAACUGUGCACAUCGUGACGGUACCUAAUCAGAAAGCCACGGCUAACUACGUG